This 476-nucleotide ribosomal RNA is filed under the name uncultured Cytophagales bacterium. RNAcentral describes it as "bacterial SSU rRNA". It matches the Rfam family "Bacterial small subunit ribosomal RNA", at positions 28 to 505 of the family's 1533-position model. Lineage: Bacteria; Pseudomonadati; Bacteroidota; Sphingobacteriia; Sphingobacteriales. The record is from RNAcentral.
GAUGAACGCUAGCGGCAGGCCUAAUACAUGCAAGUCGAACGGUAAGGUUUCUUCGGAAAUACACGAGUGGCGCACGGGUGCGUAACGCGUAUGCAACCUACCUAUUACUGGGGGAUAGCCAGUGGAAACAUUGAUUAAUACCCCAUGGUACUUUUGAGUGGCAUCACUUGAUAGUUAAAGAUUUAUUGGUAAUAGAUGGGCAUGCGUAUGAUUAGCUAGUUGGAGAGGUAAUGGCUCACCAAGGCAACGAUCAUUAGGGGUUCUGAGAGGAUGAUCCCCCACACUGGUACUGAGACACGGACCAGACUCCUACGGGAGGCAGCAGUAGGGAAUAUUGGGCAAUGGAGGCAACUCUGACCCAGCCAUGCCGCGUGCAGGAAGACGGCCCUCUGGGUUGUAAACUGCUUUUUUAUUUGAAGAAAAGCCCAUGCGUGGGUCUAUGACGGUAAAAUAAGAAUAAGCACCGGCUAACUCCG